UACGUAGGGGGCAAGCGUUGUCCGGAUUUAUUGGGCGUAAAGAGCGUGUAGGCGGCCAAGCAGGUCCGCUGUGAAAACUCGAGGCUCAACCUCGAGACGUCGGUUGAAACCGCUUGGCUAGAGUCCGGAAGAGGAGAGUGGAAUUCCCGGUGUAGUGGUGGAAUGCGCAGAUAUCGGGAGGAACACCAGUGGCGAAGGCGGUUGCCUGGGGCUUUGCUGACGCUGAUGCGCGAAAGCGUGGGGAGCGAUCCGG
RNAcentral lists this ribosomal RNA (253 nucleotides) under uncultured bacterium. RNAcentral's name for it is "partial 16S ribosomal RNA". It matches the Rfam family "Bacterial small subunit ribosomal RNA", at positions 524 to 776 of the family's 1533-position model. The record is from RNAcentral.